Molecule: small nuclear RNA, 186 nt
Filed under: Chinchilla lanigera (long-tailed chinchilla)
Lineage: Eukaryota; Metazoa; Chordata; Mammalia; Rodentia; Chinchillidae
Description: U2 spliceosomal RNA (ENSCLAG00000020861.1)
Rfam family: U2 spliceosomal RNA
About the family: U2 is a small nuclear RNA (snRNA) component of the spliceosome (involved in pre-mRNA splicing). Complementary binding between U2 snRNA (in an area lying towards the 5' end but 3' to hairpin I) and the branchpoint sequence (BPS) of the intron results the bulging out of an unpaired adenosine, on the BPS, which initiates a nucleophilic attack at the intronic 5' splice site, thus starting the first of two transesterification reactions that mediate splicing.
Source: RNAcentral
AUCUCUUCUGCCCAAAAGGUCUAGAGAAGUUUUGGACACAAAACACUUUAUACUAAGGUCAAGUGCAGUAUCUGUUCUUAUUACUUUAAUAUCUGAUGCCUCUUCUCUCUGAGGACAGUAUACGAAAUGGAUUUUUGGAUUUUUGGAGCAGAGAGAUGGAACAAGAGCUUGUUCUGUCCACUGGAC